UGCAUAUCAAUAAGCGGAGGAAAAGAAAAUAACAAUGAUUCCCCUAGUAACGGCGAGUGAAGAGGGACAAGCUCAAAUUUUAAAUCUGUUGGGUUAUACCUAUCAGAGUUGUAUUUUGAAGAAGCGUUUUCCGCGUCUCGGUUGACCCAAAUCCUUUGGGAUAAGGUAUCAUGGAGGGUGAGAAUCCCGUUCGGUUGACCUUAUGACGCUCUACGAUACGCUUUCAAAGAGUCGAGUUGUUUGGGAUUGCAGCUCAAAAUGGGAGGUAAAUUUCUCCUAAGGCUAAAUAUCGGCGAGAGACCGAUAGCGAACAAGUACCGUGAGGGAAAGAUGAAAAGAACUUUGAAAAGAGAGUUAAACAGUACGUGAAAUUGUUGAAAGGGAAACGAUUGAAGUCAGUCGUACCGACGAGAAAUCAGCUUCUUAUGCGCUUUAUUGUGGGCGUGCGUGAGUUUUAACGCCUCGCUGUUUGCAAUGUUUGUGUAUUUUGGGUGUACUUUUUCGUAUGGUAGGCCAAUGUCAGUUUCGAUUAUCAUAAAAUGAUCGGAGGAAUGUAGCUUUGGUCUCGAUCGAAGUGUUAUAGCCUCUGGUAGAUGUGGUGAAACGAGACUGAGGAUUGCAACGAAUACCUUUUGGGCUAUCCGUCUGACCUCUGAAAGUCGCUUAGGUGCCGAAAGCUUGCUUACGGUUAUUUAAGUUGGGCGGUCAAAGGCUAGAACGUGAUUAUAUUCGUUAAGGAUGUUGACGUA
This 749-nucleotide ribosomal RNA is filed under the name uncultured Glomeromycotina. RNAcentral describes it as "eukaryotic LSU rRNA". It matches the Rfam family "Eukaryotic large subunit ribosomal RNA", at positions 37 to 633 of the family's 3401-position model. The record is from RNAcentral. Lineage: Eukaryota; Fungi; Glomeromycota.